RNAcentral lists this long non-coding RNA (157 nucleotides) under Ictidomys tridecemlineatus (thirteen-lined ground squirrel). RNAcentral's name for it is "lncRNA (ENSSTOG00000030910.1)". Lineage: Eukaryota; Metazoa; Chordata; Mammalia; Rodentia; Sciuridae. The record is from RNAcentral.
CCUAAAGGAGAUUCAAAAAUCAUCAGAGCUGCUCUUCCCACCACAGACCCAGCGUGCAUGGACUGAAGGACAAAGCUGUCUCCACUGUGGGCAGGACCACUAUGCAAAUGGAGUCACAAAACAAAAUGGAGUCACUUUGGCUUGACUAUCACAGAAU